GAAAGUUGUUGAAGGGCCGAUUGAAUAAAAAUUCUCCUCUAAUUAGAUACACUUCUUGCCAUACUUCUCAGCUUGUAAAGAGGAUUAACACUUGAAUAUUUCUAACUGAAGCAAAGGACUAAUCUAUGUAUGCCAUAACCUGUCUCAUACCAGGUGCUUCCCUCCAUCUCCCAAGGAUCCACUUCCCUAGCAAAGCCUUUACUCAUGCAACAGCUACACAUUUGGCUACGCCGAUUAUAGGGACGGGGCCCCCGGCAAUUUCGCAGAUGUCAGUCUAAAAAGCGAGCCCGUUUCCUCGUUUUUAGCAGAGCCUGAGUGGCCAGGCACCCAGACAAGCUGAACCGUGCAGUCCACCUUCACUAGUUCCUCCUCGACCUUCAAGCACUAAAGUACGAGCUUGGAGGCCACAUUUCCUGUCGUAAUAGCUUUUAUGCGAAGACUGCAACCUGGAAGACAGUAUCGUGUUCCUCCAGCGAGUAUGCUUUGCUGGUACAUGGCGCCCUACCGCAAAACCCUUUACCAGCUCUAUUGUUCAUUCUGGUGCUAUCUGUAUAACAGAUAAUCCCCCUGCUUACCAAGGAAGGUUCAUUGGAGUCCCGCCGCUCUUCUUUGUCUGCGAUAUACGAGCUCUGUCUCGGUGAAGUUGGCCCAACUAUUAAAACUGUUUAUUUAUGAAAUUUGUCAUAUUAAAUGUAUUAAAAACUAAAAUGUACUUCUGAUAAUAUUCGAUAUUUUUAUUUAAUAUUAGCCUAAAAUACGACAUAUUUUGUAAAAGAGAAAAAAUAUCUUAAAAAAAAUUAAAAAACUGCCGAUUAAGGUAUAAUUAAUAAUAAAAAUUAACGAAACCAAAUAGCAGCAAAUCAGCACGGCGUUACAUCGAUUUUUCGACUGAUUACUGCUUUUAUACGUCUUUACAUAGGGUCAACUAAUGUCAACUAAUAUUUGGCAGUCAUCUGGUGUAAAACUGUUCCAAAUUUCUUGGAGAUUCGUAAUUCUAGAACGGUUCUU
Molecule: long non-coding RNA, 1008 nt
Organism: Anthonomus grandis grandis
Lineage: Eukaryota; Metazoa; Arthropoda; Insecta; Coleoptera; Curculionidae
Exons: 3
Source: RefSeq, a predicted model, not a curated record